UGAGGAAUAUUGGGCAAUGCCCGCAAGGGUGACCCAGCAACGCCGCGUGGAGGAUGAAUGUCGUAAGAUUGUAAACUCCUGUUAGAGGGGAAGAAUAGUACCGGUUGGACCGGUAUAUGACUGUACCCUCAGAGAAAGCCCCGGCUAACUACGUGCCAGCAGCCGCGGUAAUACGUAGGGGGCAAGCGUUGUCCGGAUUUACUGGGUGUAAAGGGCGCGCAGGCGGGAUAAAAAGUCAGUGGUGAAAUCCUACAGCUUAACUGUAGAACUGCCUUUGAUACUUUUAUUCUUGAGUUCGGGAGAGAGAGACGGAAUUCCAGGUGUAGUGGUGAAAUACGUAGAUAUCUGGAAGAACACCAGAUGCGAAGGCGGUCUCUUGGUCCGACACUGACGCUGAGGCGCGAAAGCGUGGG
This 413-nucleotide ribosomal RNA is filed under the name uncultured bacterium. Its description in RNAcentral is "bacterial SSU rRNA". It matches the Rfam family "Bacterial small subunit ribosomal RNA", at positions 355 to 765 of the family's 1533-position model. The record is from RNAcentral.